CGUAGGGUGCGAGCGUUAAUCGGAAUUACUGGGCGUAAAGCGUGCGCAGGCGGUUUUUGUAAGACAGAUGUGAAAUCCCCGGGCUCAACCUGGGACCUGCAUUUGUGACUGCAAGGCUAGAGUACGGUAGAGGGGGAUGGAAUUCCGCGUGUAGCAGUGAAAUGCGUAGAUAUGCGGAGGAACACCGAUGGCGAAGGCAAUCCCCUGGACCUGUACUGACGCUCAUGCACGAAAGCGUGGGGAGCAAACAGGAUUAGAUACCCUGGUAGUCCACGCCCCAAACGAUGUCAACUGGUUGUUGGGUCUUUACUGACUCAGUAACGAAGCUAACGCGUGAAGUUGACCGCCUGGGGAGUACGGCGCAAGGUUG
RNAcentral lists this ribosomal RNA (370 nucleotides) under uncultured organism. RNAcentral describes it as "bacterial SSU rRNA". It matches the Rfam family "Bacterial small subunit ribosomal RNA", at positions 526 to 896 of the family's 1533-position model. The record is from RNAcentral.